GAGCCACUAGCUCAGCCCGGCAGAGCACCUGACUUUUAAUCAGGGUGUCGCAGGUUCGAAUCCUGCGUGGCUCACCA
This 77-nucleotide transfer RNA is filed under the name Ammonifex degensii. RNAcentral's name for it is "tRNA-Lys". It matches the Rfam family "tRNA". From Rfam's summary of the family: Transfer RNA (tRNA) molecules are approximately 80 nucleotides in length. Lineage: Bacteria; Bacillati; Bacillota; Clostridia; Thermoanaerobacterales; Thermoanaerobacteraceae. The record is from RNAcentral.